Molecule: ribosomal RNA, 327 nt
Filed under: uncultured bacterium
Lineage: Bacteria
Description: bacterial SSU rRNA
Rfam family: Bacterial small subunit ribosomal RNA
Source: RNAcentral
GACGAACGCUGGCGGCGUGCUUAACACAUGCAAGUCGAGCGGUAAGGCCCUUUCGGGGGUACACGAGCGGCGAACGGGUGAGUAACACGUGGGUGACCUGCCCUCAGCUCUGGGAUAAGCCUGGGAAACCGGGUCUAAUACUGGAUAUGACUCCAUGACGCAUGGUUGUGGGGUGGAAAGCCUUGUGCGGCUGAGGAUGGGCCCGCGGCCUAUCAGCUUGUUGGUGGGGUGANGGCCUACCAAGGCGACGACGGGUAGCCGGCCUGAGAGGGCGACCGGCCACACUGGGACUGAGACACGGCCCAGACUCCUACGGGAGGCAGCAGU